RNAcentral lists this long non-coding RNA (827 nucleotides) under Rattus norvegicus (Norway rat). RNAcentral's name for it is "long non-coding RNA NONRATT001836". Lineage: Eukaryota; Metazoa; Chordata; Mammalia; Rodentia; Muridae. The record is from RNAcentral.
CGAAUAACAAAAAUCCCCUGCAAACCUCUCAUUUUUAACCACCGAGAACUGACUCUUUCCUGUUUCAAACACAUUACGGCUCCAAACUCUGUCUCUCAGCCUUCACACACCUGUCUAUAAGACAUCUCUGGAAGCUUCCGCCCGGCGUGGGGACAGUAAGCCCCAGUAAUCCCAAACAUGCACUCUCAUCUUGCCAACAUGCCUCCUGCGAGCUUUCCAACAUGCAGAUACAUCCGUUUGCACUAACACAAUUCUCACACUUCCAAAGACACAGACGACUGCCCAGAGUGAGACUUGGAGUGAGGCAGAGACCUUCGGCACCGGGGACCCCACCCUAAGGCAGUGGGGUCUUAGGGUUGCAAUAAGGGAGGGGUACUGUCAAGGUCACUUGCGAUUUAGAAAUGGGUGGGGGUGUCACAUGCCAAUCCCUUGCAGCCAGGUUGGGAUCAAGGCUUUGGAAAGACCCUUCCGACUAAUCUACAAGCACCAGUGUACCUACUGUGUGGCCUGGGGACCCAGAUGCACAGAACAAAGCUAUCAGCAGUGCUAACAGUCACUGAACCACCCUACCUGUCAUGGGCUCUCAGCAUCGAGCUUAGGAAACACAGGGACAUGAGACUAUCACACUGCCCCAAAUGGGACUUAGCCAAAAAUGUCAGAAGGUCCUGGGGAGCCUUCCACACUCACAGGAAGCAACCUAAGGCUUGCUGUGGAGAUGGGAGGCACCGCUGUGUGGAUACCCGCAGUUCCUACAGUCUCGCCACAAGCAGUCCUCAACCUGACAGCCUACUUCUCCUUCACAAACCAAGACCCAGCAGCUCUUGGAU